AACGAACGCUGGCGGCACGCCUUAGGCAUGCAAGUCGAACGAAUCCUUCGGGAUUAGUGGCAAACGGGUGAGUAACACGUGGGAAUCUACCCCAAGGUGUGGGAUAACAGUGGGAAACUGCUGCUAAUACCACAUAAUGUCUCCGGACCAAAGGUUUACUGCCUUGGGAGGAGCCCGCGUCAGAUUAGCUUGUUGGUGAGGUAAUGGCUUACCAAGGCGACGAUCUGUAGCUGGUUUGAGAGGAUGAUCAGCCACACUGGGACUGAGACACGGCCCAGACUCCUACGGGAGGCAGCAGCUAGGAAUAUUGGACAAUGGGGGAAACCCUGAUCCAGCGAUGCCGCGUGAGUGAUGAAGGCCUUAGGGUUGUAAAGCUCUUUCGCCUGUGAUGAUAAUGACAGUAGCAGGUAAAGAAACCCCGGCUAACUCCG
RNAcentral lists this ribosomal RNA (431 nucleotides) under uncultured Alphaproteobacteria bacterium. RNAcentral describes it as "bacterial SSU rRNA". It matches the Rfam family "Bacterial small subunit ribosomal RNA", at positions 29 to 505 of the family's 1533-position model. The record is from RNAcentral. Lineage: Bacteria; Pseudomonadati; Pseudomonadota; Alphaproteobacteria.